Molecule: non-coding RNA, 223 nt
Filed under: Thiocapsa marina
Lineage: Bacteria; Pseudomonadati; Pseudomonadota; Gammaproteobacteria; Chromatiales; Chromatiaceae
Also listed under: 1 other name
Source: RNAcentral
GUGCCGCGUUGAUUGUCCGGUGCCUCGAAGGCCUUCGCCUUCCGGGUUAAACGGGAAGUCGGUGCGCGGUGCCCUCGGGACCCGCAAAUCCGACGCUGCCCCCGCAACGGUAGACGAGUCAAGACGCGGCGAGAUGCCACUGUGAGUCAUCACGGGAAGGCGCCGCGUCCGGGGUUCGACCCCGCUCGUGAGCCCGGAGACCGGCCGGAUGAUCGGGGACCGU